This 73-nucleotide transfer RNA is filed under the name Loxodonta africana (African savanna elephant). It matches the Rfam family "tRNA". Rfam says of the family: Transfer RNA (tRNA) molecules are approximately 80 nucleotides in length. Their secondary structure includes four short double-helical elements and three loops (D, anti-codon, and T loops). Further hydrogen bonds mediate the characteristic L-shaped molecular structure. tRNAs have two regions of fundamental functional importance: the anti-codon, which is responsible for specific mRNA codon recognition, and the 3' end, to which the tRNAs corresponding amino acid is attached (by aminoacyl-tRNA synthetases). tRNAs cope with the degeneracy of the genetic code in two manners: having more than one tRNA (with a specific anti-codon) for a particular amino acid; and 'wobble' base-pairing, i.e. permitting non-standard base-pairing at the 3rd anti-codon position. The record is from Rfam by way of RNAcentral. Lineage: Eukaryota; Metazoa; Chordata; Mammalia; Proboscidea; Elephantidae.
GUCCCUGUGGUGCAAAAGGUUAAGCACUCGACUAGUAAUCUAAAGGUUGGUGGUUUGAACCCAUCCAGUGAUA